RNAcentral lists this ribosomal RNA (566 nucleotides) under Bacillus amyloliquefaciens. RNAcentral's name for it is "bacterial SSU rRNA". It matches the Rfam family "Bacterial small subunit ribosomal RNA", at positions 244 to 801 of the family's 1533-position model. The record is from RNAcentral. Lineage: Bacteria; Bacillati; Bacillota; Bacilli; Caryophanales; Bacillaceae.
GCUAGUUGGUGAGGUAACGGCUCACCAAGGCGACGAUGCGUAGCCGACCUGAGAGGGUGAUCGGCCACACUGGGACUGAGACACGGCCCAGACUCCUACGGGAGGCAGCAGUAGGGAAUCUUCCGCAAUGGACGAAAGUCUGACGGAGCAACGCCGCGUGAGUGAUGAAGGUUUUCGGAUCGUAAAGCUCUGUUGUUAGGGAAGAACAAGUGCCGUUCAAAUAGGGCGGCACCUUGACGGUACCUAACCAGAAAGCCACGGCUAACUACGUGCCAGCAGCCGCGGUAAUACGUAGGUGGCAAGCGUUGUCCGGAAUUAUUGGGCGUAAAGGGCUCGCAGGCGGUUUCUUAAGUCUGAUGUGAAAGCCCCCGGCUCAACCGGGGAGGGUCAUUGGAAACUGGGGAACUUGAGUGCAGAAGAGGAGAGUGGAAUUCCACGUGUAGCGGUGAAAUGCGUAGAGAUGUGGAGGAACACCAGUGGCGAAGGCGACUCUCUGGUCUGUAACUGACGCUGAGGAGCGAAAGCGUGGGGAGCGAACAGGAUUAGAUACCCUGGUAGUCCACGCC